Molecule: ribosomal RNA, 402 nt
Filed under: uncultured bacterium
Lineage: Bacteria
Description: bacterial SSU rRNA
Rfam family: Bacterial small subunit ribosomal RNA
Source: RNAcentral
UGGGGAAUCUUGCACAAUGGGGGCAACCCUGAUGCAGCGACGCCGCGUGAGCGAUGAAGCCCUUCGGGGCGUAAAGCUCUUUCGACCGGAACGAUAAUGACGGUACCGGGAGAAGAAGCUGCGGCUAACUACGUGCCAGCAGCCGCGGUAAUACGUAGGCAGCAAGCGUUGUUCGGAGUUACUGGGCGUAAAGAGUGCGUAGACGGUUUUCUAAGUUCGGUGUGAAAUCUCCCGGCUUAACUGGGAGGGUGCGCCGAAGACUGGGAAGCUGGAGUGUGGGAAAGGCAGGCGGAAUUCCUGGUGUAGCGGUGAAAAGCGUAGAUAUCAGGAGGAACACCGGCGGUGUAGACGGCUUGCUAGACCAUAACUGACGCUGAGGCACGAAAGCGUGGGUAGCAAACA